Molecule: ribosomal RNA, 584 nt
Filed under: uncultured bacterium
Lineage: Bacteria
Description: partial 16S ribosomal RNA
Rfam family: Bacterial small subunit ribosomal RNA
Source: RNAcentral
UGGGGAAUUUUGGACAAUGGGCGAAAGCCUGAUCCAGCAAUGCCGCGUGUGUGAAGAAGGCCUUCGGGUUGUAAAGCACUUUUGUCCGGAAAGAAAUCCUUGGCUCUAAUACAGUCGGGGGAUGACGGUACCGGAAGAAUAAGCACCGGCUAACUACGUGCCGGCAGCCGCGGUAAUACGUAGGGUGCAAGCGUUAAUCGGAAUUACUGGGCGUAAAGCGUGCGCAGGCGGUUUGCUAAGACCGAUGUGAAAUCCCCGGGCUCAACCUGGGAACUGCAUUGGUGACUGGCAGGCUAGAGUAUGGCAGAGGGGGGUAGAAUUCCACGUGUAGCAGUGAAAUGCGUAGAGAUGUGGAGGAAUACCGAUGGCGAAGGCAGCCCCCUGGGCCAAUACUGACGCUCAUGCACGAAAGCGUGGGGAGCAAACAGGAUUAGAUACCCUGGUAGUCCACGCCCUAAACGAUGUCAACUAGUUGUUGGGGAUUCAUUUCCUUAGUAACGUAGCUAACGCGUGAAGUUGACCGCCUGGGGAGUACGGUCGCAAGAUUAAAACUCAAGGAAUUGACGGGGUCAUAGCUGUUUCCU